This is a non-coding RNA of Hysterangium stoloniferum, 73 nucleotides long. The record is from the annotation of a GenBank genome assembly. NCBI's taxonomy places the organism in Eukaryota, Fungi, Basidiomycota, Agaricomycetes, Hysterangiales, Hysterangiaceae.
GGCGCAGUAGCUCAGUGGCUAGAGCACUUGAUUGCAAAUCAAGGGGUCCCGUGUUCGAACCACGGUUGCACCU